RNAcentral lists this ribosomal RNA (468 nucleotides) under uncultured bacterium. RNAcentral's name for it is "partial 16S ribosomal RNA". It matches the Rfam family "Bacterial small subunit ribosomal RNA", at positions 28 to 507 of the family's 1533-position model. The record is from RNAcentral.
GACGAACGCUGGCGGCGUGCUUAACACAUGCAAGUCGAACGGAAAGGCCCUGCUUUUGUGGGGUGCUCGAGUGGCGAACGGGUGAGUAACACGUGAGUAACCUGCCCUUGACUUUGGGAUAACUUCAGGAAACUGGGGCUAAUACCGGAUAGGAGCUCCUGCUGCAUGGUGGGGGUUGGAAAGUUUCGGCGGUUGGGGAUGGACUCGCGGCUUAUCAGCUUGUUGGUGGGGUAGUGGCUUACCAAGGCUUUGACGGGUAGCCGGCCUGAGAGGGUGACCGGCCACAUUGGGACUGAGAUACGGCCCAGACUCCUACGGGAGGUAGCAGCGGGGAAUAUUGCACAAUGGGCGGAAGCCUGAUGCAGCAACGCCGCGUGCGGGAUGACGGCCUUCGGGUUGUAAACCGCUUUCGCCUGUGACGAAGCGUGAGUGACGGUAAUGGGUAAAGAAGCACCGGCUAACUACGUG